CAUUUUUGCUGUAAGUAAUUCUAGAUUGAGGGGGUAUUACAUAAGGUAGUUGACAGAAUGACUUCCUUUUAUCACCUGGCCACUACUAUUGCCUUAAUCAAGGCUUAAGAUGAGCUAUAGCUCAAUCAUAUACUAGCAUAUGUAUAUGUAGGUAUGUAUGCCACACAAAACAAGAAUAUAAUGUAUGUAUUUUUAUGAGGCAUAAUUUUUUCGUCAGCAUCGUUCAUGCAUCAAGUGGCAAGGCAGCACCAGAUCACCAUCCAUCAGGCAGCAUCCUCCUCCUCCUACCUUCUCAGGCCCUCCACAAUGUAAGUAGCAUAAAGAUCCCUGAAAAACGAAAAUGACGCAACAUCGGCUCGAUUGCGUACCACUCAAACAAUUCGUUCCUAAUUGCUCAUGUGGUGAAUAACACAUAUGUUGGUAGUGGAGGAGGAAGGAGAGAACUGACAUGGAGUGCUGGAUGGCCUCGUAGGCGUCCUCUGACGGCAGGAAGUCGUUGACGGCCACCUCCUUGUUC
RNAcentral lists this ribosomal RNA (517 nucleotides) under Triticum aestivum (bread wheat). RNAcentral's name for it is "partial small subunit ribosomal RNA". The record is from RNAcentral. Lineage: Eukaryota; Viridiplantae; Streptophyta; Magnoliopsida; Poales; Poaceae.